Molecule: ribosomal RNA, 253 nt
Filed under: uncultured bacterium
Lineage: Bacteria
Description: partial 16S ribosomal RNA
Rfam family: Bacterial small subunit ribosomal RNA
Source: RNAcentral
UACGAAGGGGGCUAGCGUUGUUCGGAAUCACUGGGCGUAAAGGGCGCGUAGGCGGCCGAUUAAGUCGGGGGUGAAAGCCUGUGGCUCAACCACAGAAUUGCCUUCGAUACUGGUUGGCUUGAGACCGGAAGAGGACAGCGGAACUGCGAGUGUAGAGGUGAAAUUCGUAGAUAUUCGCAAGAACACCAGUGGCGAAGGCGGCUCACUGGCCCGAUACUGACGCUGAGGCACGAAAGCGUGGGGAGCAAACAGG